GACGAACCGUGCAAACGUUAUUCGGAAUCACUGGGCAUAAAGGGCGCGUAGGCGGCUUUCUAAGUCAGGGGUGAAAUCCGGCAGCUCAACUGUCGCAGUGCCUUUGAUACUGGAGAGCUUGAGGGAGGUAGGGGUCUGUGGAACUUCCGGUGGAGCGGUGAAAUGCGUUGAUAUCGGAAGGAACGCCGGUGGCGAAAGCGACGGACUGGACCUUUUCUGACGCUGAGGCGCGAAAGCCAGGGGAGCAAACGGG
This 253-nucleotide ribosomal RNA is filed under the name uncultured bacterium. RNAcentral describes it as "partial 16S ribosomal RNA". It matches the Rfam family "Bacterial small subunit ribosomal RNA", at positions 524 to 776 of the family's 1533-position model. The record is from RNAcentral.